UCCUCGUUGACGCAAUUGGUUAGCGUGUCAGACUUUUACAAAUGAUCGAGAUCUGAAAGUUACGAGUUCGAGUCUCGUACGAGGAG
Fusarium sp. MPI-SDFR-AT-0072 is the source of this 86-nucleotide non-coding RNA. The record is from the annotation of a GenBank genome assembly. NCBI's taxonomy places the organism in Eukaryota, Fungi, Ascomycota, Sordariomycetes, Hypocreales, Nectriaceae.